CCUACGGGUGGCAGCAGUGAGGAAUAUUGGUCAAUGGGCGCGAGCCUGAACCAGCCAAGUCGCGUGAGGGAAGAAGGUACUAUGGAUUGUAAACCUCUUUUGUCGGGGAGCAAAAGCCGCCACGCGUGGCGUUCCGAGAGUACCCGAAGAAAAAGCAUCGGCUAACUCCGUGCCAGCAGCCGCGGUAAUACGGAGGAUGCGAGCGUUAUCCGGAUUUAUUGGGUUUAAAGGGUGCGCAGGCGGACGAUCAAGUCAGCGGUAAGAGUGAGAGGCUCAACCUCUUCGAGCCGUUGAAACUGGUUUGCUUGAGUGAGUGAGAAGUAUGCGGAAUGCGUGGUGUAGCGGUGAAAUGCAUAGAUAUCACGCAGAACUCCGAUUGCGAAGGCAGCAUACCGGCGCUCAACUGACGCUCAUGCACGAAAGUGUGGGUAUCGAACAGGAUUAGAUACCCGAGUAGUC
This 459-nucleotide ribosomal RNA is filed under the name uncultured bacterium. RNAcentral describes it as "partial 16S ribosomal RNA". It matches the Rfam family "Bacterial small subunit ribosomal RNA", at positions 338 to 795 of the family's 1533-position model. The record is from RNAcentral.